Cephus cinctus (wheat stem sawfly) is the source of this 1408-nucleotide long non-coding RNA. RefSeq lists it as uncharacterized. The record is from RefSeq and is a predicted model, not a curated record. The transcript is spliced from 4 exons. Lineage: Eukaryota; Metazoa; Arthropoda; Insecta; Hymenoptera; Cephidae.
AUUAUCAAAGAAUAAUACAGAGAAAAGGAUACUGAUGGUAAAAGAGUAAAUGGGUAAACAGAAUUUGGAAAAUUAAAAAAAUUUUUUUCUACGUCCCGUUACGGGACUCCGUCGCCGAUUGAUUUGAUUUAAUACCGCAUGGGGUUCUUAUUAGAUCUCUUUUCUAUAGUUGGGUCUUUUAUAUGUCUAUACGUCCCUGACGACGACGUAUCCUCCUUCAUCCAGCCGCCUCCAUUCUGAAGUCGACGUGAUUUCACUUACGAGAUGAAACUUCUCGUCGAUCAACAAGGAAAGAAUCUAUGUCCCGGAUCUCUGCAGUCUUUCAGCAUCGUUCUCUUUGUCUCAAUGAAUUUUCUACGUACGUCUAGGGCAUCACGUGUAACUUUAACAUCGCGAUGGCAGCUGACUCUUUACUCACCGUAAAACGACCACUGACCAUUACCUGAAACCAGAGAGAUAAAUCCGUAGCAGCCGUGCUCUAUAAUUCGGUACACAAGUGGCUAGUUAGUCGUUGAAACAGUUGCUGGGAGGUUCCCGACCGCAUUGCAGUUCUCCGCUAUUGGAUAUAGGCUGUGGUCGACUUUGCAAGCCCAGUUUUUUUCCACUGCGGCAUGAAGCCAUAGCUACCAUGGAAAAAUAUAUUUCACGGAUUUUCGUUAUGCCUUCACGGUGCUGUUGUCGUACACCAACUCGUGUCCGUCCAUGCGGAAGAUGUGGGUCAGCAUUGUCAAGCAGGAUGAACGUGGAGUUCCAGCUAGUAUUUUCUUUUUUCACUAAAAGGCUGUCCACACCCAAAUACAUUGGGGCUUUGCUACUGCCACCCGGAAGGGCCUGAAUCUAGUACACAUGCGUAAAACUGCCGCUACGCGCAUGGGCUCUGUGAAAUGUGCCAAGCGGAAAUUAAUAUGCUUCAUAACGAGCAACUGGGUGUCCGUGAAAUUCUUAUCGUAAUCUUAAGAGUUUUCGGUCGACGGCACGAAACCUUGAGAUUAUAGGAAUAUAAAGCAUACUCGUGUGCCUUAUUGUUAGACAGAAGGUAGUAUCGAUCCGUCAAAUAAUUUUUACCAUCAUUGUACUUCUGUCUGUAUAACGAUAACGACUUGAAUCUACUAGACUAGGUGCAGCGACGUAUCACAUAAAGCAGGAUAAAAAUAGGCUAUAUGUAAAACGUAUGCUGUUAUACCUGUCUCAGUACGUAUUCUAAACAUAGAAAUUGCUCGACUUUGCGAUUCUGCGAAAAAAUGGCCCAAGGUGCUGCUUUUCCGGGCGAGCUAAUUUUGCUGCAUAAAUAAACAAUGGAAACGGACUGGUUAAGGGCUCGCCAGUGAAAGCUAUUCCACCCCAACCUGGGAAGCUUGUCCCAAAGCUGCCACCCUCUCGACUCUUUUCUGCCCUCUUCAUGCCUUGG